RNAcentral lists this ribosomal RNA (253 nucleotides) under uncultured bacterium. RNAcentral describes it as "partial 16S ribosomal RNA". It matches the Rfam family "Bacterial small subunit ribosomal RNA", at positions 524 to 776 of the family's 1533-position model. The record is from RNAcentral.
UACAGAGGGUGCAAACGUUGUUCGGAUUUACUGGGCGUAAAGCGCGUGUAGGCGGCUUUGCAAGUCGGAUGUGAAAUCCCACGGCUCAACCGUGGAAGUGCAUCCGAAACUGCAUCGCUGGAGUCUCGGAGAGGAAGGUGGAAUGCUUGGUGUAGAGGUGAAAUUCGUAGAUAUCUGGAGGAACACCGGUGGCGAAGGCGGCAUCCUGGACCGGCAUUGACGCUGAGGAGCGAAAGCCAGGGGAGCAAACGGG